Molecule: ribosomal RNA, 459 nt
Filed under: uncultured bacterium
Lineage: Bacteria
Description: partial 16S ribosomal RNA
Rfam family: Bacterial small subunit ribosomal RNA
Source: RNAcentral
CCUACGGGAGGCAGCAGUGAGGAAUAUUGGUCAAUGGGCGCGAGCCUGAACCAGCCAAGUCGCGUGAGGGAAGACGGUCCUAUGGAUUGUAAACCUCUUUUGUCGGGGAGCAAACGACGCCACGCGUGGCGUUCCGAGAGUACCCGACGAACAAGCAUCGGCUAACUCCGUGCCAGCAGCCGCGGUAAUACGGAGGAUGCGAGCGUUAUCCGGAUUUAUUGGGUUUAAAGGGUGCGCAGGCGGAAGAUCAAGUCAGCGGUAAAAUUGAGAGGCUCAACCUCUUCGAGCCGUUGAAACUGGUUGUCUUGAGUGAGCGAGAGGUAUGCGGAAUGCGUGGUGUAGCGGUGAAAUGCAUAGAUAUCACGAAGAACUCCGAUUGCGAAGGCAGCAUACCGGCGCUCAACUGACGCUCAUGCACGAAAGUGUGGGUAUCGAACAGGAUUAGAUACCCUGGUAGUC